Molecule: long non-coding RNA, 537 nt
Filed under: Capsicum annuum
Lineage: Eukaryota; Viridiplantae; Streptophyta; Magnoliopsida; Solanales; Solanaceae
Description: long non-coding RNA (CANN_LNC000114)
Source: RNAcentral
UUCCAAUGUUUUCUUGCUUAUCAUACCAUGGCUAAACCGUCCAUGACCUCAAAUCCAGCUGCCAUAAAAUUCAUCAAAAGUUCAUGUAAAUCCACACUUUACCCUGUGUUAUGUGUCCAAUGCCUCUCAGCUUUUGCUAACACUGUUAAACAAAGUGAGAAACAAUUAGCUCACGCUGCUUUAUCAGUUAGUUUAAGCAGAGCAAAAUCCACUACGAUAUUUGUAUCGAAGUUAAAUAGAAUACGUGGUCUAAAGCCAAGAGAAAAACAAGCAGUUAAAGACUGUUUGGACACUAUGAGUGAUAGUGUUGAUCAGAUAAAUAAAUCAAUUCCAGAACUUGGACAUAUUAGUCAAUUUUCAAAGUAAUGUACAGACUUGGGUAAGUGCUGCACUUACUGAUGAAAAUACUUGUCUUGAUGGAUUUUCAGGACCUGGUAUGAAUGGAAAUGUUAAGGCUGCUUUAAGGGUGAGGAUACUUCAUGUUGCACAAGUUACUAGUAAUGCACUUGCUUUGGUUAAUCGAUUUGCGGAUCGACA